Molecule: ribosomal RNA, 443 nt
Filed under: uncultured bacterium
Lineage: Bacteria
Description: partial 16S ribosomal RNA
Rfam family: Bacterial small subunit ribosomal RNA
Source: RNAcentral
CCUACGGGUGGCAGCAGUGGGGAAUAUUGGGCAAUGGGCGCAAGCCUGACCCAGCAACGCCGCGUGAAGGAAGAAGGCUUUCGGGUUGUAAACUUCUUUUCUGAGGGACGAAGAAAGUGACGGUACCCACAGAGGAAGCACCGGCUAACUCCGUGCCAGCAGCCGCGGUAAUACGGGGGGUGCAAGCGUUGUCCGGUAUCAUUGGGCGUAAAGAGUUCGUAGGCGGCACGUAAAGUCUGGUGUUAAAGGCAGAGGCUCAACUUCUGUACGGCACUGGAUACUGGCGAGCUAGAAUGCGGUAGAGGUAAAGGGAAUUCCUGGUGUAGCGGUGAAAUGCUUAGAUAUCAGGAGGAACAUCGGUGGCGUAAGCGCUUUACUGGGCCGUAAUUGACGCUGAGGAACGAAAGCCAGGGUAGCAAAUGGGAUUAGAUACCCUGGUAGUC